Molecule: long non-coding RNA, 721 nt
Organism: Zingiber officinale
Lineage: Eukaryota; Viridiplantae; Streptophyta; Magnoliopsida; Zingiberales; Zingiberaceae
Exons: 3
Source: RefSeq, a predicted model, not a curated record
UGUAGGCACUGCAGAGCGUGAGGAUGGGGAAGAAAAGAGCUCACGAGCUAUCAUCUCCUGCACCGCACAGUGCCGCAACAGGAGCCAGCGGCAGCAAGCAACCAAAAAGGUGUGAGAUUCUCUUUGUCAUGGAAGUUUGCGAGUGGAAGGGGCCACAGGCGUCACCAAGAACGAGAUAAGGGACACGCUGAAUCAUCCAGGAGCAGUAGCUUGGCACGGAAAAAAGGCAUUCCCUUCUUGAGCUUGCCUGGUCCACUGAGGGUUACUUCUCGUGUCUCGUUAUGGGGAAUCAGGCGCUUUUGCACCGGAGGAGGUGGCUGUUGCAAGGGAGGAUGAUGAAGCCUUUGAUGUGGAGCAUAAGGUAACACUUGCUGCUGUAUCCGAAGAGGAGGAUGAGCUCACUGAUUCAGCCGGUGCAGGUUGCUAAUGAUUUGGAGCUGCAGAUGGCCUUCGGUCUGGCUGAUUCUGCUGGCGGGCAACAGGGGCAGCAGCUCUACGACAUCCCUCUUUACGGUGUCCAAUUCUCCUACAGACUUCACAAUAAUCAGGGACCAUUUCAUAGUAUAUUUUGAACUCUAUUUGUACUUCCGUGGGCAGCGUAAUUGGGACCUCAUGGACCCUUUCACCGACAACCGGAACUUCAAUCAUAAGACGAGCAUACUCCAAUAUUCCCUUGUCCUUGUUAUUUUGUCCGUGUACAUGGUAUUCCAACCUCCGAUCC